AUAAUUGUCAGCUAAGUGGCGCACGGGUGAGUAAUGUAUAGAUAACCUGCCCUUAAGAAAGGAAUAACAGUUGGAAACGACUGCUAAUGCCCUAUAUGCCUUUAAUACAUAAGUAUGCAAGGGAAACGCUUUAGUGCUUAAGGAUGGGUCUGUAUGGUAUCAGCUUGUUGGUGAGGUAAUGGCUCACCAAGGCUAUGACGCCUAACUGGUUUGAGAGGAUGAUCAGUCACACUGGAACUGAGACACGGUCCAGACUCCUACGGGAGGCAGCAGUGGGGAAUAUUGCACAAUGGACGAAAGUCUGAUGCAGCAACGCCGCGUGGAGGAUGACACAUUUCGGUGCGUAAACUCCUUUUAUAUAGGAAGAUAAUGACGGUACUAUAUGAAUAAGCACCGGCUAACUCCGUGCCAGCAGCCGCGGUAAUACGGAGGGUGCAAGCGUUACUCGGAAUCACUGGGCGUAAAGAGCGUGUAGGCGGGUAUAUAAGUCAGAAGUGAAAUCCAAUAGCUCAACUAUUGAACUGCUUUUGAAACUGUAUACCUAGAAUGUGGGAGAGGUAGAUGGAAUUUCUGGUGUAGGGGUAAAAUCCGUAGAGAUCAGAAGGAAUACCGAUUGCGAAGGCGAUCUACUGGAACAUUAUUGACGCUGAGACGCGAAAGCGUGGGGAGCAAACAGGAUUAGAUACCCUGGUAGUCCACGCCCUAAACGAUGCACACUAGUUGUUGUGAGGCUCGACCUUGCAGUAAUGCAGUUAACACAUUAAGUGUACCGCCUGGGGAGUACGGUCGCAAGAUUAAAAC
Molecule: ribosomal RNA, 801 nt
Filed under: uncultured bacterium
Lineage: Bacteria
Description: bacterial SSU rRNA
Rfam family: Bacterial small subunit ribosomal RNA
Source: RNAcentral